ACUUUCAAUCUCACUUUCUCACUCCCACUUCUCCACCAUCCCUCGACUCCCUUGACUCGACUCUAACGACAUCCCAGAGAAUGCCCAUGACUGCCGCUACAACCAACACAACGACACCACCACCACCCAUCCAGCCAUCCUCCGACCUCGACGACAUCUGUUACUUCGUCGGCUAUCGGGAUUUGCGAGAUUUGUGAACAUAAGAGAUGGAGGCGGUGCAACCCCAUUGCAUUUAGCAACCAGCCAAAGACGGCCAGAGCGAGUUCAUGUUCUUUUAGACAAUGGGGCUCUUGUUUGUGCUUCAGCUGGUGGAUAUGGCUACCCUGGAAGUACAUCGCUUCAAUUAGCUGCUCAUGCUGGAUCCUUAGAUUGUGUCAGAGAGUUGCUUGCUUAGGGAGCGGAUCGGCUUCAAAAAGGCUUUUUUUGGGUAACUUUCUUUAAUCUAUGAAUUUGGACGAUGUGUUAUUAUUUUGGAUGAUGUAUUGUUAUUUUGGAUGAUGUCAUGUAAUAUUGUUAUUUUGGACUCUCGAAAUUUGGAUGUGUUGUUAUUUUGGA
Molecule: long non-coding RNA, 555 nt
Organism: Pyrus x bretschneideri (Chinese white pear)
Lineage: Eukaryota; Viridiplantae; Streptophyta; Magnoliopsida; Rosales; Rosaceae
Exons: 3
Source: RefSeq, a predicted model, not a curated record